This 617-nucleotide ribosomal RNA is filed under the name Salmonella enterica subsp. enterica serovar Virchow. RNAcentral describes it as "partial 23S ribosomal RNA". It matches the Rfam family "Bacterial large subunit ribosomal RNA", at positions 676 to 1290 of the family's 2925-position model. The record is from RNAcentral. Lineage: Bacteria; Pseudomonadati; Pseudomonadota; Gammaproteobacteria; Enterobacterales; Enterobacteriaceae.
ACCGAGUCUUAAUAGGGCGUCUAGUUGCAGGGUAUAGACCCGAAACCGAGUGAUCUAUCCAUGAGCAGGUUGAAAGUGACGUAACAGUUACCGGAGGACCGAACCCACUGUCGUUGAAAAGCCAGGGGAUGACUUGUGGAUAGGGGUGAAAGGCUAAUCAAACUCGGUGAUAGCUGGUUCUCCCCGAAAGCUAUUUAGGUAGCGCCUCGGACGAACACCAUUGGGGGUAGAGCACUGUUUCGGCUAGGGGGUCAUCCCGACUUACCAAACCGAUGCAAACUCCGAAUACCGAUGAGUGAUAUCCGGGAGACAGACGGCGGGUGCUAACGUCCGUCGUCAAGAGGGAAACAACCCAGACCGCCAGCUAAGGCCCCAAAUUCCUAGUUAAGUGGGAAACGAUGUGGGAAGGCACAGACAGCUAGGAGGUUGGCUUAGAAGCAGCCAUCCUUUAAAGAAAGCGUAAUAGCUCACUAGUCGAGUCGGCCUGCGCGGAAGAUGUAACGGGGCUCAAACUAGGAGCCGAAGCUGCGGAUUUAAUUGUUUCAAUUAAGUGGUAGGGGAGCAUUGUGUAAGCCUGUGAAGGUGUGUUGUAAAGCAUGCUGGAGGUAUCACAAGAG